This 871-nucleotide ribosomal RNA is filed under the name Bacillus sp. EB-86. RNAcentral's name for it is "bacterial SSU rRNA". It matches the Rfam family "Bacterial small subunit ribosomal RNA", at positions 87 to 942 of the family's 1533-position model. Lineage: Bacteria; Bacillati; Bacillota; Bacilli; Caryophanales; Bacillaceae. The record is from RNAcentral.
UGAUGUUAGCGGCGGACGGGUGAGUAACACGUGGGUAACCUGCCUGUAAGACUGGGAUAACUCCGGGAAACCGGGGCUAAUACCGGAUGGUUGUUUGAACCGCAUGGUUCAAACAUAAAAGGUGGCUUCGGCUACCACUUACAGAUGGACCCGCGGCGCAUUAGCUAGUUGGUGAGGUAAUGGCUCACCAAGGCAACGAUGCGUAGCCGACCUGAGAGGGUGAUCGGCCACACUGGGACUGAGACACGGCCCAGACUCCUACGGGAGGCAGCAGUAGGGAAUCUUCCGCAAUGGACGAAAGUCUGACGGAGCAACGCCGCGUGAGUGAUGAAGGUUUUCGGAUCGUAAAGCUCUGUUGUUAGGGAAGAACAAGUACCGUUCGAAUAGGGCGGUACCUUGACGGUACCUAACCAGAAAGCCACGGCUAACUACGUGCCAGCAGCCGCGGUAAUACGUAGGUGGCAAGCGUUGUCCGGAAUUAUUGGGCGUAAAGGGCUCGCAGGCGGUUUCUUAAGUCUGAUGUGAAAGCCCCCGGCUCAACCGGGGAGGGUCAUUGGAAACUGGGGAACUUGAGUGCAGAAGAGGAGAGUGGAAUUCCACGUGUAGCGGUGAAAUGCGUAGAGAUGUGGAGGAACACCAGUGGCGAAGGCGACUCUCUGGUCUGUAACUGACGCUGAGGAGCGAAAGCGUGGGGAGCGAACAGGAUUAGAUACCCUGGUAGUCCACGCCGUAAACGAUGAGUGCUAAGUGUUAGGGGGUUUCCGCCCCUUAGUGCUGCAGCUAACGCAUUAAGCACUCCGCCUGGGGAGUACGGUCGCAAGACUGAAACUCAAAGGAAUUGACGGGGGCCCGCACAAGCGGUGGAGCAUGU